RNAcentral lists this ribosomal RNA (460 nucleotides) under uncultured bacterium. RNAcentral's name for it is "partial 16S ribosomal RNA". It matches the Rfam family "Bacterial small subunit ribosomal RNA", at positions 338 to 795 of the family's 1533-position model. The record is from RNAcentral.
CCUACGGGUGGCAGCAGUGAGGAAUAUUGGUCAAUGGACGAGAGUCUGAACCAGCCAAGUAGCGUGAAGGAUGACUGCCCUAUGGGUUGUAAACUUCUUUUAUACAGGAAUAAAACGAGGCACGUGUGCCUUUUUGCAUGUACUUUAUGAAUAAGGAUCGGCUAACUCCGUGCCAGCAGCCGCGGUAAUACGGAGGAUCCGAGCGUUAUCCGGAUUUAUUGGGUUUAAAGGGAGCGUAGAUGGGUUGUUAAGUCAGUUGUGAAAGUUUGCGGCUCAACCGUAAAAUUGCAAUUGAUACUGGCAGUCGUGAGUACAGUUGAGGUAAGCGGAAUUCGUGGUGUAGCGGUGAAAUGCUUAGAUAUCACGAAGAACCCCGAUUGCGAAGGCAGCUUACUAAACUGUGACUGACAUUGAUGCUCGAAAGUGUGGGUAUCAAACAGGAUUAGAUACCCGUGUAGUC